This 360-nucleotide ribosomal RNA is filed under the name uncultured Methanosaeta sp. RNAcentral describes it as "bacterial SSU rRNA". It matches the Rfam family "Archaeal small subunit ribosomal RNA", at positions 978 to 1338 of the family's 1478-position model. Lineage: Archaea; Methanobacteriati; Methanobacteriota; Methanomicrobia; Methanotrichales; Methanotrichaceae. The record is from RNAcentral.
AGCUGAGAGGUGGUGCAUGGCCGUCGUCAGUUCGUACUGUGAAGCAUCCUGUUAAGUCAGGCAACGAGCGAGACCCACGUCCACAGUUGCCAGCAUACCCUCGGGGUGAUGGGUACAUGUGGAGACCGCCGCUGCUAAAGCGGAGGAAGGAAUGGGCAACGGUAGGUCAGUAUGCCCCGAAUCUCCCGGGCUACACGCGGGCUACAAUGGUUGGUACAAUGGGCAUCUACCCCGAAAGGGGGAAGGAAAUCUCUUAAAGCCAAUCGUAGUUCGGAUUGAGGGCUGCAACUCGCCCUCAUGAAGCUGGAAUCCGUAGUAAUCGCGUUUCAACAGAACGCGGUGAAUACGUCCCUGCUCCUU